RNAcentral lists this ribosomal RNA (387 nucleotides) under uncultured Thauera sp. RNAcentral describes it as "bacterial SSU rRNA". It matches the Rfam family "Bacterial small subunit ribosomal RNA", at positions 997 to 1382 of the family's 1533-position model. The record is from RNAcentral. Lineage: Bacteria; Pseudomonadati; Pseudomonadota; Betaproteobacteria; Rhodocyclales; Zoogloeaceae.
UUUCCAGAGAUGGAUUCGUGCUCGAAAGAGAGCCAUAACACAGGUGCUGCAUUGGCUGUCGUCAGCUCGUGUCGUGAGAUGUUGGGUUAAGUCCCGCAACGAGUGCAACCCUUGUCAUUAGUUGCCAUCAUUUAGUUGGGCACUCUAAUGAGACUGCCGGUGACAGACCGGAGGAAGGUGGGGAUGACGUCAAGUCCUCAUGGCCCUUAUGGGUAGGGCUUCACACGUCAUACAAUGGUCGGUACAGAGGGUUGCCAAGCCGCGAGGUGGAGCCAAUCCCUUAAAGCCGAUCGUAGUCCGGAUCGUAGUCUGCAACUCGACUACGUGAAGUCGGAAUCGCUAGUAAUCGCAGAUCAGCAUGCUGCGGUGAAUACGUUCCCGGGUCUU